This 204-nucleotide microRNA precursor is filed under the name Oryza nivara. RNAcentral describes it as "MIR812 microRNA precursor family". It matches the Rfam family "MIR812 microRNA precursor family". The record is from Rfam by way of RNAcentral. Lineage: Eukaryota; Viridiplantae; Streptophyta; Magnoliopsida; Poales; Poaceae.
AAUAGAUGACACCGUUGACUUUUUCUCACAUAUUUAACCAUUCGUCUUAUUUAAAAAAUUUACAUAAUUAUAAUUUAUUUUGUUAUAAGUUGUUUUAUCACUCAUAGUAUUUUAAGUGUGAUUUAUAUCUUAUGCAUUUACAUAAAAUUUUUAAAUAAAACGAAUGGUCAAACAUGUGAGAAAAAGUCAAUGGCGUCAUCUAUU